GGCGGACGGGUUAGUAACGCGUGGGAACGUACCCUUCUCUAAGGAAUAGCCACUGGAAACGGUGAGUAAUACCUUAUACGCCCUUCGGGGGAAAGAUUUAUCGGAGAAGGAUCGGCCCGCGUUAGAUUAGGUAGUUGGUGGGGUAAUGGCCUACCAAGCCUACGAUCUAUAGCUGGUUUUAGAGGAUGAUCAGCAACACUGGGACUGAGACACGGCCCAGACUCCUACGGGAGGCAGCAGUGGGGAAUCUUGGACAAUGGGCGCAAGCCUGAUCCAGCCAUGCCGCGUGAGUGAUGAAGGCCUUAGGGUCGUAAAGCUCUUUCGCCUGUGAUGAUAAUGACAGUAGCAGGUAAAGAAACCCCGGCUAACUCCGUGCCAGCAGCCGCGGUAAUACGGAGGGGGUUAGCGUUGUUCGGAAUUACUGGGCGUAAAGCGCACGUAGGCGGAUUAGAAAGUUGGGGGUGAAAUCCCGGGGCUCAACCCCGGAACUGCCUCCAAAACUCCUAGUCUAGAGUUCGAGAGAGGUGAGUGGAAUUCCGAGUGUAGAGGUGAAAUUCGUAGAUAUUCGGAGGAACACCAGUGGCGAAGGCGGCUCACUGG
RNAcentral lists this ribosomal RNA (600 nucleotides) under Leisingera aquaemixtae. RNAcentral describes it as "bacterial SSU rRNA". It matches the Rfam family "Bacterial small subunit ribosomal RNA", at positions 97 to 732 of the family's 1533-position model. Lineage: Bacteria; Pseudomonadati; Pseudomonadota; Alphaproteobacteria; Rhodobacterales; Roseobacteraceae. The record is from RNAcentral.